CUGACAUGAAAGAUGUGCUUUCAAAAUCGUAUCGCGAGCGAUGCGUUUUAACGUUCAGAACGAGGGGUUCUUAACAAAACUCCCUCGGCCAGAAUAUACUAUCAUCAAUAGGCGCCAAAGGAAGUUAGCGUCUAUGAAUGGUUGCCUGGGAGGAGAAUGCAGAACCCUGCAUUACCUCAACACCAGUUAAGGAAGGGGAAGGGAAAGGUAAUUGGAACGGAACAGAGGGAGAGAGGACAUACAAUCUCAAUUCAUCUUUCUUCGAUUCCUUGCAUCAUAUCGCCUUGCCUCCUUUUCAACUGUAUCAGAGUAUGUUACGCAGGGAUGGGAGAAGGGGGAUAAUUCGGAUAACACCCCUCCUGGAUUCUGCAGCCCAUUUUGCAUGACUGUGGAAGGGUUCUUUGAUUUCCAAAUCUCUGUCAUUCUCUCUAUCAUAAUUCCAAUGGAUAUGUUGUGGAUGAUAUGAGUGGGUGUAAUGGAUUAAAACCAGUGUGAGGAUGUGGACUAUUUACUACAAGAUGAAGAUUCAAUCACAGUAGGGGUCAUUAACCCAGUCUUGAUUGUGGAAAUUCUGAGUGUCACGUCUUUUAUUGGACUUAACACUGCUCUGCAGAGAUGAUCAACAAAACAUCCACCCAGAGAACUAGGGGUGAAAUCAUUACGCCGAUUCUCUUGCAAAAUGUUUUGCAACAGAAAUGGUUUACUCCAAAUGGAAAACACAAACUAGAGUUUAUAUUGGACAAAUUCAGUCCCUGUUUUCUAGUUCUUCCGGUUUUGACCAUUCUGCCUGCCCAGAGCCUGCCUGCCGUUCUGUACUUUACGGACUCUGUCCUGGAUUACCGACCUCUGCCUGCCCUUGACCUGUCGUUUGCCUGCCUCCUGUUUUGUUAAUAAACUUCUGUGAUUCGAAC
RNAcentral lists this long non-coding RNA (911 nucleotides) under Salmo salar (Atlantic salmon). Its description in RNAcentral is "lncRNA (ENSSSAG00000109323.1)". Lineage: Eukaryota; Metazoa; Chordata; Actinopteri; Salmoniformes; Salmonidae. The record is from RNAcentral.